GUGGGGUGACUGCGUACCUUUUGUAUAAUGGGUCAGCGACUUAUAUUCUGUAGCAAGGUUAACCGAAUAGGGGAGCCGGAGGGAAACCGAGUCUUAAUUGGGCGUUAAGUUGCAGGGUAUAGACCCGAAACCCGGUGAUCUAGCCAUGGGCAGGUUGAAGGUUGGGUAACACUAACUGGAGGACCGAACCGACUAAUGUUGAAAAAUUAGCGGAUGACCUGUGGCUGGGGGUGAAAGGCCAAUCAAACCGGGAGAUAGCUGGUUCUCCCCGAAAGCUAUUUAGGUAGCGCUUCGUGAAUUCAUCUCCGGGGGUAGAGCACUGUUUCGGCUAGGGGGCCAUCCCGGCUUACCAACCCGAUGCAAACUGCGAAUACCGGAGAAUGUUAUCACGGGAGACACACGGCGGGUGCUAACGUCCGUCGUGAAGAGGGAAACAACCCAGACCGCCAGCUAAGGUCCCAAAGUCAUGGUUAAGUGGGAAACGAUGUGGGAAGGCCCAGACAGCCAGGAUGUUGGCUUAGAAGCAGCCAUCAUUUAAAGAAAGCGUAAUAGCUCACUGGUCGAGUCGGCCUGCGCGGAAGAUGUAACGGGGCUAAACCAUGCACCGAAGCUGCGGCAGCGACACUGUGU
RNAcentral lists this ribosomal RNA (630 nucleotides) under Salmonella enterica subsp. enterica serovar Heidelberg str. 607310-1. RNAcentral describes it as "bacterial LSU rRNA". It matches the Rfam family "Bacterial large subunit ribosomal RNA", at positions 588 to 1219 of the family's 2925-position model. Lineage: Bacteria; Pseudomonadati; Pseudomonadota; Gammaproteobacteria; Enterobacterales; Enterobacteriaceae. The record is from RNAcentral.